RNAcentral lists this long non-coding RNA (604 nucleotides) under Apteryx rowi (Okarito brown kiwi). RNAcentral's name for it is "lncRNA (ENSARWG00000009007.1)". Lineage: Eukaryota; Metazoa; Chordata; Aves; Apterygiformes; Apterygidae. The record is from RNAcentral.
CAGGGCCCCUUUCUCGGUGUUUUUAGCCCUCCUGUGUUUACUUUCCCAGGUGUUACUCUUUACUGUGACCGUAAGCGUCACGUUUAAUUCUGUUAGUGGAAGGUGCGACUCGCUCAGUGAACAGCUCCGGCGGGGGAUGUGCUCGUAGGGCUGCGGUCAGGCGCUGGCAGUGAAACAGGGCCGUGCCGGGGGGCGCGGACGGGGUUUCGGUUAGCCAGUUUAACUCCCUUUCGUGUGCUGAGGGAUGGACGGCACGCUGUGAGGAAAUGGAGAUGAGGAAAAGAACUUGGGGGGCUGGCGGAUGCUUCCUUGAUAUUACCAGCUCUUUGGGUUCACUGGGUCUGGGAUUCUCCUGCCCCACCUCAGAAAUCCUCAAAAUAGAAGCUGACCUGCAAGGUACCCAUCUGUAUCACUUAAGAGACUUAAGGUGUCUACUCUUGAAUGAGAUGAAUCACUUCCUAUAUGUGCCUGUUUCUGUCUGCAGACUAUAUUGGAAAUUUGGAUGACCAUGUCAAAUGCUGAUGUCUGCAUUAUAGAAAUCUAAGGUUGGCUGUAUCCUACCUUUCUAAAUAUUUGGGAAAUAUCUAGCAGAUUGAGAUAUAUU